Ailuropoda melanoleuca (giant panda) is the source of this 2780-nucleotide long non-coding RNA. RefSeq lists it as uncharacterized. The transcript has 3 exons. The record is from RefSeq and is a predicted model, not a curated record. Lineage: Eukaryota; Metazoa; Chordata; Mammalia; Carnivora; Ursidae.
GGGGGACGCCGAGGAGAUGGUACAGUCCAGCCACCCGGCAUCCGACCCCCCCUCCCGGCGGUUCAAGUUUCUGCGCCCGGAGGACGCGGCCUCGGCCAAUCCCUGGGCUACAGGGCGCUUUUAAAAUGCAGUCAUCUCUACUCCCAGCGUGGGACUGGAACUCACAACCGCGAGACCAAGAGUCAAAUGUUCUACUGACUGAGCCAGCCAGGUGCCCCCUGAGUUGAAUCUUGAAGAGCGAGUAGGAGUUUGUCAGAUUUUGGAGGGGGGGAGGAGGGCGUUGGGAUAGUCAAAAUGGAGGGAACCACACAAGCCAAAACCCCAAAGGACAUUUGUUUCUUGUGUUUUGCGAUAACCAGCAAUGCCGCCAGAGACGUUCUGGUGCAGUCCUGAUGUGCGAGUUUGAACUUGGGUUUGGGUCUAGACCAAGACACAGAGGGGCUGGGUCAUACAGUACAUGGCUUCAGUUCGACCGGAGGAGGCCAGACUGCUUCCCGAAGAGGCGGUGCCAACUCACAGUCCAGCCAGCAGGGUGUAGGAUGCUGUCACUCCAGUGCAUGCUCGAAACUUCGCUCUCUUUCCACACCUGCUCUGCCUCCCUCAGGCUGUCAGAGCACAAGAGAAGCCCAGGCCAAAUUGCAUACUCUAGGUGCCCACUAUAUGAGGACAAAACAAAACCAAACAGAAGAAGAAAGAGUAUAACAGGUUUAAACACGGAUAACUUAUCUGAAAUGUUUAUAUUUAUCAAAUCGAUGCUCUCACACAUACUGCGCAGGUUCAAUGCAACACUGCGGAAUAGUCAGAGGCUUUGCAGCAGGUGACAAGUCUCCGGUCCCAGACACUGGGUCUCUGAGCCCGGCUGUGUCUCCCAGUGACUAUCACCAUCGCUCUGGGAAGGGCGAAGCCCAGGCCGGCAGUCUCAUCUGUGACGGGUGGUGUCUGUCUGCCUCCCCCACGGUAUGCUCCUUGAGGACAAACCCAGCUCUUGUCUGAGACCCUCAGGCCAUGGCCCCAGUGGUGUUGCCUGGAUGUCUGCAGGAGUGCCGUCUGUGUCAGAGACACACCUGCCCAGCCCCCUCAUCCUCCCAAGUGCCCCUGGACAUGGGGUGCUGCUUUCACCCCGGGUCUACAAGAAGCCGUGCCCCAGGCUGCAAAGAUCAGGGACCAGUCUCUUCCGGUGCCUAAAUAUGUCAUGUGCUGAGUGUGGAAUAAAAGUCGACAAAGACUUUAAUUGUUAAUGUGGCUCUGCCGCUGCAGGCCGGGCCUCCCAGCCCCUUCCAGCUUGCUCCCCUCCAACCCACCUCUGAUACAAUCCCAGCAAUAACAGUAAUUCCCCCACCCCCACCUCCAGUUGAGCCCACCGUGGGCAGAGAGAAGAUGGGACAUGAGUCACUCUAACAGCUAUGCCAUCCGGCCACCACUGUGAUCACCGCUCUUCUCAGGACCCUCUCAGCACAGAGCCUGGGGACUCAGGGAGUGUUUGUCAAAUGAGUGAAUGAUGACGGGGGAAGUUGGGUUCAGUAGAAAAGCCCAGACUCAGAGUCCAGUCUCUGGUCUGAUACUGGCUGGCAGGUGGCUGUGGGCAAGUCACACCCCUCUCUCCACCUCUGGAUCUCACCUGGAGAUGGAAUCAUCUCAAAUGCACAAGAAAAGGCCGGCUGGAACCCUAAGCCACACGGUGGGGCAGAUGGGACACUGCUUUGCUGGGGAAAUUGCUGACAAGCCUGGGAGUACCCCAGGGUCCACAUGGAAUGAUCAUCCUGAGACUCUGAAAAUCUAACAGAAGAGCGGCCCCUCUGUCAAGAGGAGCCUCGGCCUGGCAAAGACCCAGCACCAGGACACAGCUUUGCAACGAAGAACUGCCGUCUUACCAUCCUGCCCGUCCAGAGCCCCUGCAAACAAGUCAGGGUCCUAACGAGGCAGCUGGUCAGGCUCUAUCCACAAGGCCAGCGGGUCAGCCCCGUGGUCUUGGCCCUGAGUACCUGUUAAUCACACAAAAGCUGGCAAAAUGCAGAUGCUCAGACCCCACCUCACACCAACUCAAUCAGAAUAUCUGGAGAAGGUAAGCCUGGCGGGCAGGGCUGUGAAGCACCGGGUUAGAUCAAGGUGUUGUUCACUGGCAUCAGGCCGCACCAGAAGGAGACAUCCCCAUUUCUUGGGAGGGGCACACCCCUCCCCAAGUGUCUGGAUUUAGAGAUAGUUCUCUAAGAUUAUCCACAUUCCCCACAUAAUCCUCCAAUGUGCUUCCUAGGGUAGGGAAGGGGGCUAGGAACUCUGGAGUCUCUGUAGUGUUCUCUUAACACCCCUACUUUUUGAACCAUAUGUAAUGGGAGAGAAUGGAGGGAAGGAAAGUAUUAAAGCUAUAAUACCAAGCAAUUAUCUGGGACUGCUGGACACAAAAGACCAGCAUAGAAUGGGGGGGGGGUGGAGACCAUACUGGGCAAUUCUUGUAAAAUUUCGGAACACCAAGAUUGAGGAGAUCCUAAAAGCAUCCAGAAAGAGAGACAGAGAGCGGAGACCACAUACAAGAGAUCAUGAAUCAUAAUAACAUUGACAUUCUCAAGGCAACUCCAGGAGCUAGAAGACCAUGGAGCAAUGCCUUCAGUGUCCGGAAGGAAAAAACUUCAGUACCUAAGCCAUCAAGUGUGGGGGUAGGGUAAGACAUUUUCAGAUUAAAAAAGAAAAGAAAAGGGGUGCCUGGUGACUCAGUCAGUCAGGCGGCUGCCUUCAGCUCAGGUCAUGAUCCCGGGGUCCUGGCAUCAAGCCCCCUGUCGGGCUCC